UCAUGGCUGAGGCCUCUGUGGAACGAAAGGAGGAAUGAAAUGGGUGACCUUUCCAACCAUUGACAACCAAUGUUUACUGAGCCGGUAAUUGGAGCACCUAUGCUAUGCCUACCAGUGCUUUUGAAAGCUCGAGGCUGAAACCGUCUCAUUGCUGGUAAGAGCACGUGGCAGUGACAUGCCUGGACCCAUGUGACCGCAGCCUGGCACCUCAUUUUUAGGAUCGAAAUUCACAAUAAUUCUGGAAAAAAAAGAAAAAAACCCCCACCACCUACCUCUUCUGAGGAAAUAGAGCACAGCACAGCGGGGUCGCGAACACCAAACUUAAAAAACGAAACAGAACGACAGGCGUGCAUCACCAGGUCUGGAUCUAGGGUUUUAUAUACAGUAUCUACUUUUUUGUGUUGUUACUUUGGGAAUUCAUGCUGUUGCUGCAUCAGUAAAUCAUUGUUUUUCAUUGACAAGGGAAAUAUUUAGAAAUGGCUGGAUUGCACUGCAGCAUAUGUUUGUAUAAAUGGCUCACAUGUUUUCCAAAGUGGCUGUACCAUUUUACAUGUCCACCAGCAGGUCAUGAGAGUUCCAGUUCCUACACAGACUCAUCAACA
Molecule: non-coding RNA, 602 nt
Organism: Peromyscus maniculatus bairdii (prairie deer mouse)
Lineage: Eukaryota; Metazoa; Chordata; Mammalia; Rodentia; Cricetidae
Source: RefSeq, a predicted model, not a curated record